GGGGGUGACCGGCUUUGACGGUCUGUACCUUGAAAGAUGUGCGACGCAGUGCACGCUCGUAUGCCACUUAAAUCCGCCCGAGCAACCAAACUUGCCAAGAACACUCUUGCAAGCGUGAAGUCCCCGUACUUCGGUAUGAAGGACUUCGCGUUCGCGUUUGCGAAAGUCUAACGACCAACGCCGCGCGACGUUCAUCCUCCACUGGUUUCUACAGCAGGAGGGAUGGGCGGAAUUAUCUGUAGAAUCGAUGCUCGGAAUCCCGACCGGCGCAUCUAAAUAAGGGAUCGGGUAGGAAUGGUUUCGUCUGCGUUCCUCGCAUCCUACCUUAAAGAUAACGCUGACUAUGCGUCGUAGACUCUCUUUCUUGGCCAGAUUCGGACCGGGGUCCAAUUCCCCGCACCUCCACAA
Molecule: transfer-messenger RNA, 408 nt
Filed under: Candidatus Kaiserbacteria bacterium GWA2_50_9
Lineage: Bacteria; Candidatus Kaiseribacteriota
Also listed under: 1 other name
Rfam family: transfer-messenger RNA
About the family: Bacterial tmRNA, also known as 10Sa RNA or SsrA, is named for its dual tRNA and mRNA-like properties. Its role is to liberate the mRNA from a stalled ribosome. To accomplish this part of the tmRNA is used as a reading frame that ends in a translation stop signal.
Source: RNAcentral